AGAGUCUGGCUGCUAGUUUGAAACCAUUUUAUAGACUUCCAUUAACAUGACAGCAUUAUCAUACAGAUAAUGCAUAUAUUAAUUGAUGUUUUCCAAGUUUCAUUCUGAAUCCCAUAUCUAUACUGUUUUUAAAUAAACAUGGGCCCUGUCCAUCGUUUCUCUUCCCCAAAUACUUAUUUUCUUAAUGCCACUAUUUGAUCAUUUGCUGAUUAUUAAGUAGUCCUAUUUCAAUCCCUAUUAUAAAUCCCACAUCUGUGGAGGAUUAGCAAGAUUGUAGUGGUAAGGAUCGAAAGGCUGGACCUGGAUCUAGAAUCCAUGAAUUUCUCAAGAAGUGGAUUGGGAUUUAAUUCUGGCCUUCUAGCAGUAUAGUUAUAUGCAUGGAAAUGCAUAUAACUAUAUCCACUAUAGCCAAUUUUUGGCAUCUGUUAGCAGAACCAAUCACAUAUGGAGUGGGAGCAGUUUAUCUUGAAGGCCUUGCUGUAUUAAUCUCUACUGCAAAGCAACGUAAACUGGGAAGAAAUAAAAAUGUAUCUAAAAACCAAUAUCUAUUGUUCUUAUGCAAUUUCAAAAUAUUUAAUGGAAGAAAACAAUAACCAUAAUAAUUCACUACAACCAUUAAUCAAAAAUCAAUGACAC
This 636-nucleotide long non-coding RNA is filed under the name Androctonus crassicauda. The record is from RNAcentral. Lineage: Eukaryota; Metazoa; Arthropoda; Arachnida; Scorpiones; Buthidae.